RNAcentral lists this ribosomal RNA (214 nucleotides) under uncultured Cronobacter sp. RNAcentral's name for it is "partial 16S ribosomal RNA". It matches the Rfam family "Bacterial small subunit ribosomal RNA", at positions 317 to 525 of the family's 1533-position model. The record is from RNAcentral. Lineage: Bacteria; Pseudomonadati; Pseudomonadota; Gammaproteobacteria; Enterobacterales; Enterobacteriaceae.
CGCCCGCGCGCGCGGCGGGCCUACGGGAGGCAGCAGUGGGGAAUAUUGCACAAUGGGCGCAAGCCUGAUGCAGCCAUGCCGCGUGUAUGAAGAAGGCCUUCGGGUUGUAAAGUACUUUCAGCGGGGAGGAAGGCGUUGUGGUUAAUAACCACAGCGAUUGACGUUACCCGCAGAAGAAGCACCGGCUAACUCCGUGCCAGCAGCCGCGGUAAUA